This 354-nucleotide ribosomal RNA is filed under the name Triticum aestivum (bread wheat). Its description in RNAcentral is "partial small subunit ribosomal RNA". Lineage: Eukaryota; Viridiplantae; Streptophyta; Magnoliopsida; Poales; Poaceae. The record is from RNAcentral.
AUGGAGAUGUGGAAAUAUCGGGUCGUAGGAUCGGUGGCCGCCCUGCUCUUGCUACUCGCCAUCGUCGUGCCGUUUACUCAGACCCGGACGCAGAGCGCACGGGACAAGGCUGCCAUGGCGGAAGACGCGGGGCCGUUGGUGGGAGGCAUCAAGGACUCGCCGAUGGGCCAGGAGAACGACCUCGACGUCAUCGCGCUCGCCCGCUUCGCCGUCUCCGAGCACAACAACAAGGCCGCGCGCCCCAGCUUUGCAAGGAUCUGCAGCUAUGGUGUUGAUGCAGCUAUCAAUCGGACAUGGUUUAGCGUGUUCUCGUGUAAUAUCAAGAAUAAGUCCGCUUCUUGCAAGUUGUUUUAA